Molecule: ribosomal RNA, 115 nt
Organism: Danio rerio (zebrafish)
Lineage: Eukaryota; Metazoa; Chordata; Actinopteri; Cypriniformes; Danionidae
Source: Ensembl
GUUGGCAGCUAGCUCUCUGCAACUCUCACAUAGUCACCCACUGAAGCUAAGCAAGGCUGCGCUUGGUUAGUACCUUGAUGGGAGAGCACAUGGGAAAGCUAGGUUGGUGCCAGAA